GAGAGAGAAAGAAAGAAAGAGAGAUAGUCCAGUGAUAUACCAUGGAUUUUACCCACUUUUAGCCAUGGUAUAUAAGUGUUUUUAAAUACAUUAUAGUUGUUUUGGAGUCUUUUUAAUAUGUUUUCAGGUUUAGGUGCGUUUUGGAGGAAAGUGGUGAUUUAGGGUCUUUUGGAGCCUUGUGAGUGCAUAACUGCACAUACUUGUCAGAUGUUUAGAUAUGGAUGGAAACCUUCCCACGAUGAUAUUGAGCCUAUCGUUUUACCCAAGAUAUAUCUUUG
Molecule: long non-coding RNA, 278 nt
Filed under: Brassica napus (rape)
Lineage: Eukaryota; Viridiplantae; Streptophyta; Magnoliopsida; Brassicales; Brassicaceae
Description: long non-coding RNA (BNAP_LNC000389)
Source: RNAcentral